Ananas comosus (pineapple) is the source of this 609-nucleotide long non-coding RNA. RefSeq lists it as uncharacterized. NCBI's taxonomy places the organism in Eukaryota, Viridiplantae, Streptophyta, Magnoliopsida, Poales, Bromeliaceae. The transcript is spliced from 4 exons. The record is from RefSeq and is a predicted model, not a curated record.
AAAGAAAGAAAGAAAGAAAGAAUACGAAUGAAAAAUGAGAAAAAGGGAGAAAUGGAAAGAAAAGAGCGAAACUAAGUUGAAUUGCAUAGAAACGGGUUUAAUGAAUUUUGACCCCGGUAAUGCACUUUUGCAGGAUAGGAGUCCUAAUGCGAAAUUGACUGCGUGCAAACCAAAUUGAGGGUAAAACAAACUCGUUGGCGAAGUCGGUUCGGCAAUCCGACGAACCUACGCAAAGAUAGCGCCAAAAGGACAAUUUCGGCUACGAUUGUCGCAAGCGCGGGUCGCGGUUCUCGGGAAAGUGCGAGAAGUGGAUUUCUCGCGUUCAGGUAUCAAAUAAAGUUGCAGCCUGGGAGUUUACAGCUUAUGAGAAGUGGUCGAGCACCAACCUGGUACUCUUGGUGCUGAGGGAAAACCUUGGAGAAGCUUCGAAUUAGGUCGACGACGCGCUAAUUACGGUAGAGACCGUUCUAGUUCCAUUUGCACUGAGUCGCGAGUGAUAGUUGUCGACGCAUUCCGAGACCUUGAUCUUAGUUGAUUGACACCACUACAGGUUCCAGUGCGAGCGUUGUGGCCGAGGAUCGAGGCAAGAGCCAGCAGCCUAGCUAGUGG